AGCGAACGCUGGCGGCAGGCUUAACACAUGCAAGUCGAACGCAUCCUUCGGGAUGAGUGGCAGACGGGUGAGUAACACGUGGGAACGUACCUUUUAGUUCGGAAUAACUCAGGGAAACUUGGGCUAAUACCGGAUACGCCCUUUGGGGGAAAGAUUUAUCGCUAAAAGAUCGGCCCGCGUCUGAUUAGCUAGUUGGUGUGGUAAUGGCGCACCAAGGCGACGAUCAGUAGCUGGUCUGAGAGGAUGAUCAGCCACACUGGGACUGAGACACGGCCCAGACUCCUACGGGAGGCAGCAGUGAGGAAUAUUGGACAAUGGGUGAGAGCCUGAUCCAGCCAUCCCGCGUGAAGGACUACAGCCCUAUGGGUUUUAAACUUCUUUUAUAUGGGAAUAAACCUAUCCUCGUGAGGAUAUCUGAAUGUACCAUAUGAAUAAGCAUCGGCUAACUCCGUGCCAGCCGCCGCAGUAAGAC
This 472-nucleotide ribosomal RNA is filed under the name uncultured bacterium. RNAcentral describes it as "bacterial SSU rRNA". It matches the Rfam family "Bacterial small subunit ribosomal RNA", at positions 29 to 526 of the family's 1533-position model. The record is from RNAcentral.